This is a microRNA precursor of Chlorocebus sabaeus (green monkey), 110 nucleotides long. Ensembl annotates it as microRNA 484. Its record names the gene MIR484. The record is from Ensembl. Lineage: Eukaryota; Metazoa; Chordata; Mammalia; Primates; Cercopithecidae.
CUCGCGGCCCUGCAGCCUCGUCAGGCUCAGUCCCCUCCCGAUAAACCCCUAAAUAGGGACUUUCCCGGGGGGUGACCCUGGCUUUUUUGGCGAAAACCCCCAGUUUAAGG